AUUGAACGCUGGCGGCAUGCCUUACACAUGCAAGUCGAACGGCAGCACGGGAGCAAUCCUGGUGGCGAGUGGCGAACGGGUGAGUAAUAUAUCGGAACGUGCCCAGUCGUGGGGAUAACGUAGCGAAAGCUACGCUAAUACCGCAUACGAUCUAUGGAUGAAAGCGGGGGAUCGCAAGACCUCGCGCGAUUGGAGCGGCCGAUAUCAGAUUAGGUAGUUGGUGAGGUAAAGGCUCACCAAGCCGACGAUCUGUAGCUGGUCUGAGAGGACGACCAGCCACACUGGGACUGGGACACGGCCCAGACUCCUACGGGAGGCAGCAGUGGGGAAUUUUUGGACAAUGGGUGCAAGCCUGAUCCAGCAAUGCCGCGUGCAGGAUGAAGGCC
This 386-nucleotide ribosomal RNA is filed under the name uncultured bacterium. RNAcentral describes it as "bacterial SSU rRNA". It matches the Rfam family "Bacterial small subunit ribosomal RNA", at positions 30 to 416 of the family's 1533-position model. The record is from RNAcentral.